GGGUCGUUAGCUCAGCUGGUAGAGCAUCGGACUUUUAAUCCGCUGGUCGAGGGUUCGAGUCCCUCACGACCCACCA
This 76-nucleotide transfer RNA is filed under the name Acidimicrobiia bacterium. RNAcentral's name for it is "tRNA-Lys". It matches the Rfam family "tRNA". From Rfam's summary of the family: Transfer RNA (tRNA) molecules are approximately 80 nucleotides in length. Lineage: Bacteria; Bacillati; Actinomycetota; Acidimicrobiia. The record is from RNAcentral. RNAcentral also lists the same sequence under 1 other name.